UGUAUUGCGAAUAACACAUAGA
This 22-nucleotide non-coding RNA is filed under the name Arabidopsis thaliana (thale cress). Lineage: Eukaryota; Viridiplantae; Streptophyta; Magnoliopsida; Brassicales; Brassicaceae. The record is from RNAcentral.